GAUUCCACUCAACACAGCAGAGCCACUCCGUGCACCAUUUCUCGAUUGCCCAGGAAGAUUUUUCCUGAACAGCCUGAAAACCCAAGUGAGGCUGAAAGAUGCUGAGAGUGUCAACUUGAAGAUUAGGAAUAAUACACUUGCGCACACAGAGAGACACUAAGGGUGUGCACGCACAGAGAAAAGACCAUGCGAAGAGGCAACAAGAGGGCAGCCACCUGCAAGCCAAGAAGGAAAGACUUAGGAGAAACCAGGCCUGCUGAUGUCUUGUUCUUGGGCUUCUGGCUUCUAGAACUGUGCAAGAACUAGAUUCCUGUUGUUUAAAACCCCCUAGUUGUGGUACUUCAUCACAGCCGCCCUGGUAGACUAAACUUGUAUUUGUCUGUUCUCAUGCUGCUAAUAAAAACAUACCUGAGACUGGGUGAUUUGUAAA
RNAcentral lists this long non-coding RNA (430 nucleotides) under Homo sapiens (human). RNAcentral describes it as "HSALNT0379066". Lineage: Eukaryota; Metazoa; Chordata; Mammalia; Primates; Hominidae. The record is from RNAcentral.